Non-coding RNA from Parelaphostrongylus tenuis, 75 nucleotides. Lineage: Eukaryota; Metazoa; Nematoda; Chromadorea; Rhabditida; Metastrongylidae. The record is from the annotation of a GenBank genome assembly.
GCGUCAAUAGUGCAACGGGUUAGAGCACGCGCUUCCGGAAAAGAUGUGGUGCGAGUUCGAUUCCCGCCUGACGCA